Molecule: ribosomal RNA, 459 nt
Filed under: uncultured bacterium
Lineage: Bacteria
Description: partial 16S ribosomal RNA
Rfam family: Bacterial small subunit ribosomal RNA
Source: RNAcentral
CCUACGGGAGACAGCAGUGAGGAAUAUUGGUCAAUGGUCGGGAGACUGAACCAGCCAAGCCGCGUGAGGGAUGAAGGUACAGAGUAUCGUAAACCUCUUUUGUCAGGGAACAAAGGCGGGGCCGUGUCCCCGGAUGAGUGUACCUGAAGAACAAGCAUCGGCUAACUCCGUGCCAGCAGCCGCGGUAAUACGGAGGAUGCGAGCGUUAUCCGGAUUUAUUGGGUUUAAGGGGUGCGCAGGCGGUCUGUUAAGUCAGCGGUCAAAGCCCGGGGCUCAACCCCGGCCCGCCGUUGAAACUGGCAGUCGCGAGUUGGAGAGAAGUAUGCGGAAUGCGCGGUGUAGCGGUGAAAUGCAUAGAGAUCGCGCAGAACUCCGAUUGCGAAGGCAGCAUGCCGGCUCCACACUGACGCUGAGGCACGAAAGCGUGGGUAUCGAACAGGAUUAGAUACCCUGGUAGUC